GGCCUCUUAGUUAAAUGGAUAUAGCGGCCCCCUCCUAAGGGGCAGUUGCAGGUUCGAUUCCUGCAGGGGCUACCA
Molecule: transfer RNA, 75 nt
Filed under: Pseudoalteromonas sp. Scap03
Lineage: Bacteria; Pseudomonadati; Pseudomonadota; Gammaproteobacteria; Alteromonadales; Pseudoalteromonadaceae
Also listed under: 2 other names
Description: tRNA-Arg
Rfam family: tRNA
About the family: Transfer RNA (tRNA) molecules are approximately 80 nucleotides in length.
Source: RNAcentral